Molecule: long non-coding RNA, 791 nt
Organism: Lactuca sativa (garden lettuce)
Lineage: Eukaryota; Viridiplantae; Streptophyta; Magnoliopsida; Asterales; Asteraceae
Source: RefSeq, a predicted model, not a curated record
UUGGUAUUGAUGGUGGAUCUGGGUCAGUGCCCAUUGUUCAAGAAACUCGAUGGUGUUCCAAAUGAAAGCAACAGGGGGUGUUUUGGGGGUUAUCAUGGUUACCAUUUGAAGGAUUUGUUGGAUUGGGAGGCCAUUAAAAGUUACCUUGAAUAGGAAAUCGACCUUCCUGAUGAAGCUGAGGGAUGAUCUUGUAAGCAGGAAGGAAGGCUGCACAGCUGCUGCGCAAGAUGAUGGAGGGUAGACGCAGAUCGGCGGCGAGGGAUCCGGCAAAAAACAUGAGGUUAUCAUAGAUGAUAACGAUAGAUUCCUUUUCAGAUGUUGCCUUUUGUGUAUUUAUGAUCUGAAUCAGGUGUUUCUCGAGAUGGGGUCUGCAGUUAUCAUUGAGAGCUUGCAAGAACUGAAUGACGCCGGAAGAGACGCCUGUGCCGGAUAAGUUGUUCGGCAGAGGGAAGAAGACGAAGUUGGGGUGAUUAGAAGGAUCUGGACGAUUUAACUCAGAGUGAACAAUGGUUAUGGGGAACCCUCUGGAAUGAAGGUAUGAGCCAAGCUGAAGCAUGGGGGUCAUGUGGCCUUGAAGUGGACUGGAUAUCAGCACCAAUCGCCACCGACUUCCGCCGUGCUCCGUCAUGUCUCGAGAGAUUGGAUGUCUAAUUUCUGUAGUGGGUGGCCAUUUUUUUAUAUCCUGGGUUCGUCUUUGAUUGUUCUGCCCACAAUGUUUGACUUAAUUUUUCUUAAACAUGAAAUACUAUUUUAUUGGUGAAUAAAAUGAAAUCGAAGAUUCAGUUAAAUAA